Molecule: RNA transcript, 3162 nt
Organism: Phoenix dactylifera (date palm)
Lineage: Eukaryota; Viridiplantae; Streptophyta; Magnoliopsida; Arecales; Arecaceae
Gene name: RNA demethylase ALKBH10B-like
Source: RefSeq, a predicted model, not a curated record
GAUCCGACCAAUCUCUCCCCCCCUCCCCUCUCUCUUUGGGCAGUCGGGAGAGAACCGGGAGCAGCGAAAGCGUGCUGCACAAGCCACCUCUCCCUCCCCAAAACCUUCGAUCCUCGCCCCUCCGCUUUCCUCUUUCGAUCCUCUCUUCUUUUCUCCCCUCCGAGGUCGAUCUAGAUCUAGUGGAAUUUUGCUCCAGAUAUCCCCGAAUCCAUUUUCUUCGCGUAGAAAGAGAUCUUUCUCCUAGCUGAGAUCAAGCUGGGUUCUUCCGCAAUCCAUUCUCCGAUCGUUUGAAUCCACUCCAAUCCCGAUCCCAGAUCGAGUUCACUGCGUUUAUUCGCUCGAUUCGGUAUUUGCUUGCAAUUAUUGCCUCGAUCGCUCUCGAAUCGGUUGUAAAGAUCUGAAUUUUACCUGCAUUGCUUGUGAUUUCUAUCUAUAAUCUAAUUGAUCCGGGUUUUUAUUAGUAGGAGUGUUUACUGGGAUUUGUUGAUUAUUUUGCUGUUUUUUGAGGUUUUUUGAGUGGAUUUAUUCUUGGGUUGGAUCUGGAGGUAUGAAAUUGUGAAUUAGAGGGGAUCAGGGUUGCCGGUCAUGGCGGUUCCAUCAGGGAAUGCGGUGGUCCUGGAGCAGAUGCAGUUUUCGGGUGGUGGUAGUGGAGGACGAGUCGGUGGUGGCGGUGAGGUGCAGCGGCAGUGGUUUCUUGAUGAGAGGGAUGGGUUCAUUUCAUGGCUGAGAGGAGAGUUUGCAGCGGCGAAUGCCAUUAUUGACAUUUUGAUUCAACACCUCCGGGCCACCGGCGAGCCUGGGGAGUAUGAUCAUGUUGCCGGGUGCAUUCACCAGCGGCGCAGCCUAUGGCAGCCCGUCCUCCACUUCCAGCAAUACUUCCCGGUGGCUGAGGUCAUGUUUGCCUUGCAGCAGGUGACUUGGAGGAGGCAGCAGAAGAGGCACUUCGAUGGGCCGAAGGAGAAGGACGGGAGGAAGCUGGGGUUUGGGUACCGGCAGGUGCAUCGUUUUGAGGGUGUUCGGGAGAAUCAUAGAUGCCCUACUUCAGUUUCAGUUGGGAUGGAUGUGGCCAAGGUGGAAAAGGUGGAAGAUAAGUUGAAGAAAGGAGAAGAUUCAAUGCCAAAGGGUGAAGUCCAGGUGUCAGAAAUGAAAGACUCAUCAGAUGCGGUGGAGAAGCAGGGGGUCGGUGAUGUUUCAACAUCGAAGAACAAUUGCAGCCUGAAGGAGGGGGAAAAUCUGGUUGGAACUGAGUCCAGUAAUUUGGAGCCUGCUCUUACAGAUGCUAGCACUAACUUCACCGGGACUAGCAAUGAUUCUAUUCCUUGCCAUGAUGGAGAUAUUACCUCAAACCAAGUUGGAAAACAGAAAUUAAUUCCAAUCCCCAAAGAUUUUGUGGCCAAUGAAAUAAGUGAUGGAAAGACGGUCAAUGUUGUCGAAGGACUUAAGCUCUAUGAGGAGAUAUUGGAUAGCUCAGAAAUCACCAGACUUAAGACAUUGACAAAUGAAUUGAGAGCUGCUGGUCGUAGAGGAGAAUUUCAAGGGCAGACAAUUGUGCUGUCAAAAAGACCAAUGAGGGGGCAUGGACGGGAAAUGAUUCAGUUAGGCAUUCCUAUUACCGAUGGAUCUCCAGAAGAUGAAAAUACAGCUGGGACCUGUAAAGAGCGGAAGGUGGAAGGGAUUCCUAAUUUAGUGCAGGAUGUGUUCGAUCACUUGGUUCAGCUCCAGAUUAUUCCUGUCAAGCCUGACUUUUGCACUAUUGACUUCUUUAAUGAGGGGGAUCAUUCACAUCCUCAUACCUGGCCACCCUGGUAUGGCAGGCCUGUUUGUAGCUUAUUUUUGACAGAAUGUGACAUUGUCUUUGGCCGAGCUAUUGGGGGAGAUCACCGUGGGGGGGAUUACAGAGGUCCUCUCAAGCUAUCUCUUGCAAUGGGGGCUCUUCUUGUGAUGCAAGGAAAAAGUGCUGAUCUAGCCAAGCAUGCCAUCCCCUCCUUACGCAAGCAGUGCAUCUUUCUAACUUUUGGGAAGUCCCAACCAAAAAAAUCUUUUCCAUCUGAAGACUUGCGCCUUUUUUCAUCCACUGUACCUCCACCAUCACCUCGAGGAUCAACUCCAGUUAGACCGCAGAAUGUUGCCCGUCAUUCAUCUGGCCCUAAGCAUUAUGGAGUUGUUCCUACCACUGGUGUCCUGCCAGCACCACCCAUCCAUUCCCAGCACCUGCCCCCACCUAAUGGGAUCCCGCCAAUCUUCAUUGCACCUUCCACCGUCACCCCUGCGGCUGUGCCUUAUCCUGCACCUGUUCCAGUGACACCCUCAUCAGCUGCAUGGACAGUGGCUGCACCUGCAAGGCACCCAGCACCUCGACUGCCGGUUCCUGGCACUGGAGUGUUCCUGCCCCCACCUGGUUCUGGCCACUCUCCGACAUUGCAGCAGCCACCUGUGGCUCCAGGAUCCACUGGAACUAGCUCUCCUCCAGAGACAACUGCCUUGCCUGAGAAUGAGAGCAAUGGGUUGGAAAAACCAAAUUGUAUCGACAAUGCUUCUCCAAAGACUUCGCCAAAGAAUAGAGCAGAUGAGACAGGACCUAAACUGGACUGUAAUGGGAACUCCAAUAGUGGUAAUGAUGUUGGUGGGAGGACAGCGGUAGGUAAGGAGGACCAGCAGAAUGUUGCUGCUAAGAGGAAGGUGGUGAACAGGCCAGCAGGUAAUGCUACUAUGUAGAUCAAAGAGGGCAUAGAGACAGGAGAUGGAGAUCUGUUCUGUUGAAGUAAUAGCAGGAAAGAAUAGUCAAGGAACCUCUUGGAGUUUUGGGGCAAAUGUAAAGUGCAACAGAGGGGUUGCUAGACCACUUUAAGAGGUGACCAAAAACAUUCUCUCCAGACAGUAUUGCAUCCUUAAUCGUUCUGGAAGGCAGAGUAGCAAAUUUUUGGCCUCCAGAGCUCAUACAAUCAAAUUUGUGUUCAAUGUUUUGUCUCGGCGAGCUGAGCGCUGGCUCCCACGCGCAUCUUAAAUGUGCCGAGUUCAUGGAUCCGGGGAGUUUGUGUUGCUGUCAUUUCUUUUUAAUUGGAAACUGGGCUGCCGUUGCAUCCAAUCACCAUGAAUGAACCCUCUGGAUAUUGACGCAUUGCAGUUAAAAUCCAUGAAGGUAAUAUGGAGUCAGAAUGUUUA